GACGAACGCUGGCCGCGUGCUUAACACAUGCAAGUCGAACGGAAAGGCCCUGCUUUUGUGGGGUGCUCGAGUGGCGAACGGGUGCUUAACACUUGAGUAACCUGCCCUUGACUUUGGGAUAACUUCAGGAAACUGGGGCUAAUACCGGAUAGGAGCUCCUGCUGCAUGGUGGGGGUUGGAAAGUUUCGGCGGUUGGGGAUGGACUCGCGGCUUAUCAGCUUGUUGGUGGGGUAGUGGCUUACCAAGGCCUUGACGGGUAGCCGGCCUGAGAGGGUGACCGGCCACAUUGGGACUGAGAUACGGCCCAGACUCCCACGGGAGGCAGCAGUGGGGAAUAUUGCACAAUGGGCGGAAGCCUGAUGCAGCAACGCCGCGUGCGGGAUGACGGCCUUCGGGUUGUAAACCGCUUUCGCCUGUGACGAAGCGUGAGUGACGGUAAUGGGUAAAGAAGCACCGGCUAACUACGUG
Molecule: ribosomal RNA, 468 nt
Filed under: uncultured bacterium
Lineage: Bacteria
Description: partial 16S ribosomal RNA
Rfam family: Bacterial small subunit ribosomal RNA
Source: RNAcentral